This 216-nucleotide ribosomal RNA is filed under the name Glomeromycotina sp. RNAcentral's name for it is "partial small subunit ribosomal RNA". The stretch from base 40 to 216 matches the Rfam family "Eukaryotic small subunit ribosomal RNA", at positions 686 to 864 of the family's 1831-position model. Lineage: Eukaryota; Fungi; Glomeromycota. The record is from RNAcentral.
GCGUCAGUAGGUUGGUCGUGCCACCGGUACGUACUGGUCUCACUGAUUCCUCCUUCCUGAAGAACCGUAAUGCCAUUAAUUUGGUGUUGCGGGGAAACAGGACUGUUACUUUGAAAAAAUUAGAGUGUUUAAAGCAAGCUAACGCUUGAAUACAUUAGCAUGGAAUAAUGAAAUAGGACGAUCGAUCCUAUUUUGCUGGUUUCUAGGAUUGACGUA